This 200-nucleotide ribosomal RNA is filed under the name uncultured bacterium. RNAcentral describes it as "partial 16S ribosomal RNA". It matches the Rfam family "Bacterial small subunit ribosomal RNA", at positions 29 to 259 of the family's 1533-position model. The record is from RNAcentral.
AACGAACGCUGGCGGCAGGCUUAACACAUGCAAGUCGAGCGCGUAGCAAUACGAGCGGCAGGCGGGUGAGUAACGCGUGGGAAUCUACCGAGCCCUGCGGAAUAGCUCCGGGAAACUGGAAUUAAUACCGCAUACGCCCUUCGGGGAAAGAUUUAUCGGGGUUUGAUGAGCCCGCGUUGGAUUAGCUAGUUGGUGGGGUA